Molecule: ribosomal RNA, 789 nt
Filed under: uncultured archaeon
Lineage: Archaea
Description: bacterial SSU rRNA
Rfam family: Archaeal small subunit ribosomal RNA
Source: RNAcentral
UUUCGAUUGGCUCAGUAACACGUGGAGAACUUGCCCUAAGCUGGAGAAUAACCUCGGGAAACUGAGGACAAUGCUCCAUAGUCCAUCCGUCCUGGAAUGGUGGUUGGAUGAAAGCUCCGGCGGCUUAGGAUAGCUCUGCGGCCUAUCAGGUCGUAGCGAGGGUAACGUCCUCGCUAGCCUACGACGGGUACGGGUGUUGGGAGACAUCGCCCGGAGAUGGAUUCUGAGACACGAAUCCAGGCCCUACGGGGCGCAGCAGGCGCGAAAACUGCACAAUGUGGGAAACCACGAUGCGGGAAACCCAAGUGCCAGCGCUAUGCGUUGGCUGUCCUCAAGUGUUCGUAACUUGGGAAGAAAGAGCUGGGUAAGACGGGUGCCAGCCGCCGCGGUAAUACCCGCAGCUCAAGUGGUGGUCAUUAUUAUUGGGCCUAAAGCGUCCGUAGCUGGCUUGUUAGAUGCCUGGGUAAAUCGAUGCGCUCAACGCAUCGAAUUCCGGGUAGACCGGCAAGCUUGGGACCGGGAGAGGCAUGGGCUACUCGCGGGGUAGGGGUAAAAUCCUGUAAUCCUGCGGGGAGGACCAGUGGCGAAGGCGCCAUGCUAGAACGGCUCUGACAGUGAGGGACGAAGCCCUGGGCGCAAACCGGAUUAGAUACCCGGGUAGUCCAGGGUGUAAACGCUGCGGACUUGGUGUCGCUGAUCCUACGAGGGUUGGCGGUGCCGGAGAGAAGUUGUUGAGUCCGCCGCCUGGGGAGUACGGUCGCAAGACUGAAACUCAAAGGAAUUGACGGA